RNAcentral lists this ribosomal RNA (456 nucleotides) under Monacha sp. MM-2021. RNAcentral's name for it is "partial large subunit ribosomal RNA". It matches the Rfam family "Bacterial large subunit ribosomal RNA", at positions 1797 to 2619 of the family's 2925-position model. Lineage: Eukaryota; Metazoa; Mollusca; Gastropoda; Stylommatophora; Hygromiidae. The record is from RNAcentral.
CGCCUGUUUACCAAAAACAUAGUCCCAAGCUUUAUAUUUGGGAUAUAACCUGCUCAAUGAAAAUUAAAUAGCCGCAGUACCUUGACUGUGCAAAGGUAGCAUAAUCAGUUGGCUAAUAAUUGUAGUCUAGUAUGAAUGGGAAUUGGGGGCUUUACUGUCUUAAUAAUAAGAUACAGAAAUUACUAACUAAGUGAAAAUUCUUAGGGAUUGAAAAAAGACGAGAAGACCCUAGAAAUUUUUAUAGUGUUAUAUAUUUUGUUGGGGCGACAGGGUAACAGAUAACUUACCUAAUUUAUAGGGAAUUUAUAAGUAGUGUAAUCAAAUUACUCUAGGGAUAACAGCAUAAUAUUUUAAAGUUUGUGACCUCGAUGUUGGACUAGGGAAUUAAUUACUUAAAAGGUAGUUACAUAAGCUCUGUUCGAGCUAAGUACCCUACGUGAUCUGAGUUCAGACCGG